Molecule: ribosomal RNA, 877 nt
Filed under: uncultured eukaryote
Lineage: Eukaryota
Description: SSU rRNA
Rfam family: Eukaryotic small subunit ribosomal RNA
Source: RNAcentral
CGGUGUUCAACUGGCGUGUCCGCGGGACGUCCUGCCGGUGGGCUUAGCCCGCAAGGGCGGCCCAACUUCAAAUCCCAUCGCGGUGCUCUUCACUGAGUGUCGAGGUGGGCCGGCACGUUUACUUUGAACAAAUUAGAGUGCUUAAAGCAGGCUAAAACUUCGCCUGAAUACUGUGUGCAUGGAAUAAUGGAAUAGGACCUCGGUUCUAUUUUGUUGGUUUUCGGAACCCCGAGGUAAUGAUUAAUAGGAACGGAUGGGGGCAUUCGUAUUGCGACGUUAGAGGUGAAAUUCUUGGAUCGUCGCAAGACGGACAGAAGCGAAAGCAUUUGCCAAAAACGCUUUCAUUGAUCAAGAACGAAAGUUAGAGGUUCGAAGGCGAUCAGAUACCGCCCUAGUUCUAACCAUAAACGAUGCCAGCUAGCGAUCCGUCGACGUUCCUCCGAUGACUCGACGGGCAGCUUCCGGGAAACCAAAGCUUUUGGGUUCCGGGGGAAGUAUGGUUGCAAAGCUGAAACUUAAAGGAAUUGACGGAAGGGCACCACCAGGAGUGGAGCCUGCGGCUUAAUUUGACUCAACACGGGAAACCUCACCAGGCCCGGACACCGGAAGGAUUGACAGAUUGAGAGCUCUUUCUUGAUUCGGUGGGUGGUGGUGCAUGGCCGUUCUUAGUUGGUGGAGCGAUUUGUCUGGUCAAUUCCGAUAACGAACGAGACUCUAGCCUGCUAACUAGGCGUAUUUUCGACAUCUCAAAGGUCCGUCGUCCCGGCCCUCGGGUCGUGGGCGUGCGCGAUUUUUACUGUCGGCGUACUAUCAAUUCUUCUUAGAGGGACAGGUGGCUUCUAGCCGCACGAGAUUGAGCAAUAACAGGUCUGUGAUG